RNAcentral lists this ribosomal RNA (1398 nucleotides) under Triticum aestivum (bread wheat). RNAcentral's name for it is "partial small subunit ribosomal RNA". Lineage: Eukaryota; Viridiplantae; Streptophyta; Magnoliopsida; Poales; Poaceae. The record is from RNAcentral.
AUGCAGCCGACGACCCGGGAAAUGCAAGCCAUGGCCGCCGCCGGCCAGAUCUCCCUCGACGACCUGCGCAGCGGCCACGCGGGGGUCAACAAUGGCGGCGCCGGCGGCGUGCACGACGACUUCCUCGACCAGAUGUUCGGCAGCCUGCCGCCCUCGGCCUGGCACGACCUUGCCGCCGGGACCAAGCCCGAGGACGGCGCGCAGGCCGACGGGAUGCAGCAGCAGUUGUUUGGGGGCCCGUACGACGACUCGAUGAUGCUGGCGUCGCGGCUCCGGCAGCACCAGAUUAGCGGCGGCCCUGGCGGCGGCGCCGCCUCGGCGAAGCAGAUGGUGCUGCGGCAGCUCGCCGAUCUGAGGCAGGGCCACCACAACAACAUGCUCCUCCAGGGCAUGGGCCGCUCGCCGUCCAUCGGCGGCGGCGGCGGGGAGGGCGGCCUGCUGCUCCCACUCACCCUCGGCAACGGCGGAUCGGGCGGCGACGUGCAGGCCCUGCUGAAAGCCGCCGCCAAUUCCGCCGGAGGGGACGCCGGCGUCUUCGGCGGCUUCGCCGGAUCGCUCCAGCAACAGCAACAUUUUCAGCCACAUCCACAGCAGCAAACGGCGCCCAUGCCGAGCCAGACCUUUGGCGGAGUAGGAGGUGCUCCCGGCGGCGGGGCGCAACCACAACAACAAGCCGGGGGAGGAGGAGGCGGCGGCGCGCCGGCGCCGCCGAGGCAGCGGGUGCGCGCGCGGCGAGGCCAGGCCACCGACCCACACAGCAUCGCGGAGCGACUUCGCCGGGAGAGGAUCGCCGAGAGGAUGAAGGCCCUUCAAGAACUGGUGCCCAACGCCAACAAGUGGCUGCAGACGGACAAGGCGUCGAUGCUGGACGAGAUCAUCGACUACGUCAAGUUCCUGCAGCUCCAAGUCAAGACGUCUAUGCCAACACACACGCAGGUGCUGAGCAUGAGCCGGCUGGGCGGCGCCGCUGCCGUCGCGCCGCUCGUGGCCGACAUGUCCUCGGAGGGGCGAGGCGGCGCGGCCGGCGGAGCGGCCGACGGGAGCGACGGCCUGACGGUGACGGAGCAGCAGGUGGCCAAGCUGAUGGAGGAGGACAUGGGCGCCGCCAUGCAGUACCUGCAGGGGAAGGGCCUCUGCCUCAUGCCGGUUUCCCUCGCCUCCGCCAUCUCCUCCGCCACGUGCCAGCUCCGCCCCCCGGCAGCCGCGGCCGGCGGCCCCUUCACCGCCGCACAGCACAUGAGCGCCGCCAUGCGCAUGAGCGUCGGCGACGGCGGCGUGCCGGCGUCGCCGAGCAUGUCCGUGCUCACGGCGCAGUCGGCCAUGGCCAACGGUGGAGCCUGCGCCAACGACGGCGAGGGUUCGCAUCCCAAGGACGCCGCGUCCGUCUCCAAGCCGUGA